This 85-nucleotide transfer RNA is filed under the name Candidatus Wolfebacteria bacterium. RNAcentral describes it as "tRNA-Ser". It matches the Rfam family "tRNA". Rfam says of the family: Transfer RNA (tRNA) molecules are approximately 80 nucleotides in length. Their secondary structure includes four short double-helical elements and three loops (D, anti-codon, and T loops). Further hydrogen bonds mediate the characteristic L-shaped molecular structure. tRNAs have two regions of fundamental functional importance: the anti-codon, which is responsible for specific mRNA codon recognition, and the 3' end, to which the tRNAs corresponding amino acid is attached (by aminoacyl-tRNA synthetases). tRNAs cope with the degeneracy of the genetic code in two manners: having more than one tRNA (with a specific anti-codon) for a particular amino acid; and 'wobble' base-pairing, i.e. permitting non-standard base-pairing at the 3rd anti-codon position. The record is from RNAcentral. Lineage: Bacteria; Candidatus Wolfeibacteriota.
GGUAGGGUGGGUGAGUGGCUUAAACCGACGCUCUUGAAAAGCGUUAUACCGAAAGGUAUCGUGAGUUCAAAUCUCACCCCUACCG